CAAAAUAAGUUAACUCUAUUCCUCCGAAGCUUUGGCGGGGGAAACCCGUUUUUCUGUAACCCAGAGAAAGGAAAGAAGAAAAAUGGUGGGAAAAAGGGCGACUGAGAAAACGAAGCUUCUUACUGAAAUCGAAGAACCCACCAUUCGAGAACAAUCCAUAAAUUGCAGUGAGAGUGAGCAAGAAUUAGAAGAUGAUGCAGUACCAAUUAGCGAGGUUAUUAGGGUUUCUGAAAACGGGAUUGAGAGAAAGAACCAUUUCAGUGCUUUUCAAUUCGAUGGAAAUCAUUUUAAACUUGAGGACACUGUACUCGUGACGCCAGAGGAGGGGAAGAUUAAGCCUUCUGUCACAAUCAUCAAGGACAUUUUCAAAAUCGAAGGCGAGGGUUUGAUGGUAAGAGCACAGCGAUUUUAUCGGCCUGAAGAGGUAAAGAAAACGGGGGGUGGAACCUGGGAAUCACGUGAUGCAAGGGAGCUUUUUUACAGUUGUCACCUUGAUGAAUUCCCUGCUGACGGUGUGAUGCAUGAGUGCGUGAUACAUCUUGUGCCUCUUCACAAGCCGUUGCCUGAUCGUAAAGAAAACCCUGGGUUCGUCGUACGCAAGUUCUACGACUAUGUCAAUCAGAAAGUACGAAGUCUUACUGACAAAGACUGCAAAGGUGUCUUGCCUCGGUCAGUAUAGACUAUAGAGUCUACAUAUGCUGAUAUGCUUACUUUUACACAUGCUGUUUGUUAGACUGGAUGAAGGAAACACUAAGUUGCCAAAGGAACUUUGUGCCUUACUGAGUAUAGAAUAGUUCAAAGGUAUAUAUGCUGGACAGAUUUUGUAAAUAGGUUACCAAAUUACUCAUAAAACAAUCUUAUGGAGAAGUACAGAUGUUUGUGGUCCAUUUUGGUUUGGUCAAGUUGUCUGGAUUCUCAACAAAGGGGGUAUACUGUUGUUUUCCUACUCUGUCUAAUCUUAUCACCUUCAUAAUUUCUUGUCAUGCAAUCUUUAGUCAAAAGCUCUUAAUUACACUUGGUAUACAAUACUCCAUAAUUAUUGUAACACAGAUUAAAGGUUAUCUGAUAUAAUGUAAAAUCUUCCAGAAUCAUGCAUAAUGUGAAUUAUACAGGUAUCAAAACAUGUUACUCUGUACUCCAUAAAAGUUACUGUAAUUGGGUAAAAGUUAUCACAAUUGUACAAUAAAUUUAAUGUACAUUGGUUGCACGAAAAACACGUUUUUUUUCAUUUCCUACCCAUAUCUUUAUCCACUAAACAACAAUGGAUUUGCAUUUGAGUAUUUGACCCAUCUCUUAAACAAUCACCCACUCUUUUUAGAAACAAGCUUUGGAAUUACUUGCCCAAAAAAAAUCAAGCUUUGGGAUUGGAGGGGGAAAACCAUUUUUCUUAAAUCGGAAAAAAUAAAAAUGGUGGGAAGAAUUGUAUCUCACAACGACAAUAGAGCUGAAAUCAAGAAGACACAGCUUCUUAAUGAAACCCAUAAACCCACAAUUGAAGAACAAUCCAGAAAUUGCAGCGAGAGCGAGCAAGAAUUACAGAAUGGUGCUGAGCCAAUUGGCGAGGUUAUUAGGGUUUCUGAUAAUGGGAUAGAGAGAAAGAAGCAUUUCAAGGCUUUUGAAUACGAUGGGAAUCUUUUUAAACUUGAGGACACUGUUCUUGUGGUGCCAGAGGAAGGGAAGGUUAAGCCUUCUGUCACAAUGAUCAAGGACAUUUUCCAAAUUGAAGGCGAGGAGGGUUUGAUAGUAAGAGCACAGCGAUUUUAUCGGCCUGAAGAGGUAAAGAAAACGGGGGGUGGAACCUGGGAAUCACGCGAUGCAAGGGAGCUUUUCUACAGUAGUCACCUUGAUGAAUUCCCUGCUGACGGUGUGAUGCACGAGUGCGUGAUACAUCUUGUGCCUCUCCACAAACCGUUGCCUGAUCGUAAAGAAAACCCUGGGUUUGUCGUACGCAAGUUCUACGACUAUGUCAAUCAGAAACUACGAAGUCUUACUGUCAAAGACUGCAAAGGUGUCUUUCCUCAGUCAGUAUAGAUUAUCCAUGUGCUUGCUGUUUCAUAUGCUGUUUGUAAGACUAAACGAAGGAUAUUGUAACAUACUCGUACUACUAACCUCCCACGGAGUAAUUCAUGAAUCAAUUAUUAUUAUGAGA
This is an RNA transcript of Spinacia oleracea (spinach), 2149 nucleotides long. RefSeq lists it as uncharacterized. The transcript is spliced from 5 exons. The record is from RefSeq and is a predicted model, not a curated record. NCBI's taxonomy places the organism in Eukaryota, Viridiplantae, Streptophyta, Magnoliopsida, Caryophyllales, Amaranthaceae.